CCCAGAUCUUCUCGGCUUAGCGGCUGAAGACUGAUACUGCCCGAUCGCCUCAGAAGCCCCCUAGACCAUCACGGAUGCCGAGCUUCAGAAGGCAGGAACGUCAGGCCUCUGAGCCCAAGCCAAGCCAUCGCAUCCCCUGUGACUUGCACAUAUACACCCAGAUGGCCUGAAGUAACUGAAGAAUCACAAAAGAAGUGAAAAGGCCCUGCCCCGCCUUAACUGAUGACAUUCCACCAUUGUGAUUUGUU
Molecule: long non-coding RNA, 248 nt
Filed under: Homo sapiens (human)
Lineage: Eukaryota; Metazoa; Chordata; Mammalia; Primates; Hominidae
Source: RNAcentral